RNAcentral lists this ribosomal RNA (289 nucleotides) under uncultured bacterium. RNAcentral's name for it is "partial 16S ribosomal RNA". It matches the Rfam family "Bacterial small subunit ribosomal RNA", at positions 773 to 1060 of the family's 1533-position model. The record is from RNAcentral.
GUGGAUUAGAUACCUGGGUAGUCCACGCCCUAAACGAUGCUCACUAGGUGUUGGGGAAGCGAUUCCUUGGUACCGUAGCUAACGCGUGAAGUGAGCCGCCUGGGGAGUACGGCCGCAAGGUUAAAACUCAAAGGAAUUGACGGGGACCCGCACAAGCGGUGGAUGAUGUGGAUUAAUUCGAUGCAACGCGAACAACCUUACCUACCCUUGACAUGUCGCGAAGCCUGCUGAAAGGCGGGUGUGCCCGAAAGGGAACGCGAACACAGGUGCUGCACGGCUGUCGCCAGCU